AACGAACGCUGGCGGCAUGCCUAACACAUGCAAGUCGAACGAGACCUUCGGGUCUAGUGGCGCACGGGUGCGUAACGCGUGGGAACCUGCCCUUAGGUUCGGAAUAACUCCCCGAAAGGGGUGCUAAUACCGGAUAAUGUCUUCGGACCAAAGAUUUAUCGCCUUUGGAUGGGCCCGCGUUGGAUUAGCUAGUUGGUAGGGUAAAAGCCUACCAAGGCGACGAUCCAUAGCUGGUCUGAGAGGAUGAUCAGCCACACUGGGACUGAGACACGGCCCAGACUCCUACGGGAGGCAGCAGGGGGGAAUAUUGGACAAUGGGCGAAAGCCUGAUCCAGCAAUGCCGCGUGAGUGAUGAAGGCCUUAGGGUUGUAAAGCUCUUUUACCCGGGAUGAUAAUGACAGUACCGGGAGAAUAAGCUCCGGCUAACUCCGU
This 432-nucleotide ribosomal RNA is filed under the name uncultured bacterium. Its description in RNAcentral is "partial 16S ribosomal RNA". It matches the Rfam family "Bacterial small subunit ribosomal RNA", at positions 29 to 506 of the family's 1533-position model. The record is from RNAcentral.